RNAcentral lists this ribosomal RNA (446 nucleotides) under uncultured bacterium. RNAcentral describes it as "partial 16S ribosomal RNA". It matches the Rfam family "Bacterial small subunit ribosomal RNA", at positions 329 to 792 of the family's 1533-position model. The record is from RNAcentral.
UUCCAGACUCCUACGGGAGGCAGCAGUGGGGAAUAUUGCACAAUGGGGGGAACCCUGAUGCAGCGACGCCGCGUGGGUGAAGAAGCGCCUCGGCGCGUAAAGCCCUGUCAGCAGGGAAGAAAAUGACGGUACCUGAAGAAGAAGCCCCGGCUAACUACGUGCCAGCAGCCGCGGUAAUACGUAGGGGGCAAGCGUUAUCCGGAUUUACUGGGUGUAAAGGGGGCGCAGACGGCGAUGCAAGCCAGGAGUGAAAGCCCGGGGCCCAACCCCGGGACUGCUCUUGGAACUGCGUGGCUGGAGUGCAGGAGGGGCAGGCGGAAUUCCUGGUGUAGCGGUGAAAUGCGUAGAUAUCAGGAGGAACACCGGUGGCGAAGGCGGCCUGCUGGACUGCAACUGACGUUGGGGCCCGAAAGCGUGGGGAGCAAACAGGAUUAGAUACCCCAGUA